AUCCAACUGAUGAAUCCCAAAUAGGACGAAAUGCGUGUUCUGAAU
RNAcentral lists this non-coding RNA (45 nucleotides) under Schistosoma margrebowiei. The record is from RNAcentral. Lineage: Eukaryota; Metazoa; Platyhelminthes; Trematoda; Strigeidida; Schistosomatidae.